GCCCUCGUAGUUCAAUGGACAGAACAGCGGCGUCCUAAGCCGCUGAUGACCGUUCGAUUCGGUCCGAGGGCA
This 72-nucleotide transfer RNA is filed under the name Candidatus Sungbacteria bacterium RIFCSPLOWO2_01_FULL_60_25. RNAcentral describes it as "tRNA-Arg". It matches the Rfam family "tRNA". From Rfam's summary of the family: Transfer RNA (tRNA) molecules are approximately 80 nucleotides in length. Lineage: Bacteria; Candidatus Sungiibacteriota. The record is from RNAcentral.